This 460-nucleotide ribosomal RNA is filed under the name uncultured bacterium. Its description in RNAcentral is "partial 16S ribosomal RNA". It matches the Rfam family "Bacterial small subunit ribosomal RNA", at positions 338 to 795 of the family's 1533-position model. The record is from RNAcentral.
CCUACGGGAGGCAGCAGUGAGGAAUAUUGGUCAAUGGACGAGAGUCUGAACCAGCCAAGUAGCGUGAAGGAUGACUGCCCUAUGGGUUGUAAACUUCUUUUAUAUGGGAAUAAAACGUUCCACGUGUGGGAUUUUGUAUGUACCAUAUGAAUAAGGAUCGGCUAACUCCGUGCCAGCAGCCGCGGUAAUACGGAGGAUCCGAGCGUUAUCCGGAUUUAUUGGGUUUAAAGGGAGCGUCGGUGGAUUGUUAAGUCAGUUGUGAAAGUUUGCGGCUCAACCGUAAAAUUGCAGUUGAAACUGGCAGUCUUGAGUACAGUAGAGGUGGGCGGAAUUCGUGGUGUCGCGGUGAAAUGCUUAGAUAUCACGAAGAACUCCGAUUGCGAAGGCAGUUCACUGGACUGCAACUGACACUGAGGCUCGAAAGUGUGGGUAUCAAACAGGAUUAGAUACCCCAGUAGUC